Molecule: ribosomal RNA, 490 nt
Filed under: uncultured bacterium
Lineage: Bacteria
Description: bacterial SSU rRNA
Rfam family: Bacterial small subunit ribosomal RNA
Source: RNAcentral
AUUGAACGCUGGCGGCAUGCUUUACACAUGCAAGUCGAGCGGCAGCGCGGGGGGCAACCCUGGCGGCGAGCGGCGAACGGGUGAGUAAUGCAUCGGAACGUAUCCUGUAGUGGGGAAUAACUCACCGAAAGGUGAGCUAAUACCGCAUAAGCUCUGAGGAGGAAAGCGGGGGACCGAAAGGCCUCGCGCUGCAGGAGCGGCCGAUGUCCGAUUAGCUAGUUGGUGAGGUAAAGGCUCACCAAGGCGACGAUCGGUAGCUGGUCUGAGAGGAUGAUCAGCCACACUGGGACUGAGACACGGCCCAGACUCCUACGGGAGGCAGCAGUGGGGAAUUUUGGACAAUGGGGGAAACCCUGAUCCAGCCAUGCCGCGUGAGUGAAGAAGGCCUUCGGUUGUAAAGACUCUUCGGUACGGAACGAAAUUAGCUUGGACUAAUACUACUGAGUAGAUGACGUACCGUAAGAAGAAGCACCGGCUAACUACGUGCCAG